RNAcentral lists this ribosomal RNA (468 nucleotides) under uncultured bacterium. Its description in RNAcentral is "partial 16S ribosomal RNA". It matches the Rfam family "Bacterial small subunit ribosomal RNA", at positions 28 to 507 of the family's 1533-position model. The record is from RNAcentral.
GACGAACGCUGGCGGCGUGCUUAACACAUGCCAGUCGAACGGAAAGGCCCUGCUUUUGUGGGGUGCUCUAGUGGCGAACGUGUGAGUAACACGUGAGUAACCUGCCCUUGACUUUGGUAUAACUUCAGGAAACUGGGGCUAAUACCGGAUAGGAGCUCCUGCUGCAUGGUGGUGGUUGGAAAGUUUCGGCGGUUGGGUAUUGACUAGCGGCUUAUCAGCUUUUUGGUUGGGUAGUUGCUUACCAAGGCUUUGACGGGUAGCCGGCCUGAGAGGGUGACCGGAAAAAUUGGGACUGAGAUACGGACCAGACUGCUACGGGAGGCAGCAGUGGGGAAUAUUGCAAAAUGGGCGGAAGCCUGAUGCAGCAACGCGGCGUGCGGGAUGACGGCCUUCGGGUUGUAAACCGCUUUCGCCUGUGACGAAGCGUGAGUGACGGUAAUGGGUAAAGAAGCACCGGCUAACUACGUG